CCAUUUGCAUCACCCCGGCCUUGCCCCUAUAUACGUCCUGCCGGCAACGGCUAUGGCGAUAAAUGGCUAUCGUAAUAAACCCAUCGGACCCGGGGGCAGUACCCGGCGCCUCCACCAUCUCCCCUCCCCACGGGGGGAGCCACUGGGGGCGAAACAGGAUCGACGAGGGCGUAAAGGGUGUGUUUUCGCUCGGCAUGAUACCGCCGUUAUCGGGUCAAACCUAUAGUUGCGAAUGACAACUAUGCUCCGGUCGCUCUCGCCGCGUAAGCGGUGCGAGUCCGGGAAUUGAAGCCCUCCUGCUUUAGCAGGUAGGAGGCGGGGUCCGCAGGCACCUGGCAACAGAAGCCUGCACU
RNAcentral lists this transfer-messenger RNA (353 nucleotides) under Devosia sp. It matches the Rfam family "Alphaproteobacteria transfer-messenger RNA". Rfam says of the family: Bacterial tmRNA, also known as 10Sa RNA or SsrA, is named for its dual tRNA and mRNA-like properties. Its role is to liberate the mRNA from a stalled ribosome. To accomplish this part of the tmRNA is used as a reading frame that ends in a translation stop signal. Lineage: Bacteria; Pseudomonadati; Pseudomonadota; Alphaproteobacteria; Hyphomicrobiales; Devosiaceae. The record is from RNAcentral.